RNAcentral lists this ribosomal RNA (938 nucleotides) under Arthrobacter sp. Its description in RNAcentral is "bacterial SSU rRNA". It matches the Rfam family "Bacterial small subunit ribosomal RNA", at positions 67 to 1012 of the family's 1533-position model. Lineage: Bacteria; Bacillati; Actinomycetota; Actinomycetes; Micrococcales; Micrococcaceae. The record is from RNAcentral.
CGAUGAAGCCUAGCUUGCUGGGUGGAUUAGUGGCGAACGGGUGAGUAACACGUGAGUAACCUGCCCUUGACUCUGGGAUAAGCCUGGGAAACUGGGUCUAAUACUGGAUAUGACUGCUCCGCGCAUGCGGUGGUGGUGGAAAGCUUUUGCGGUUUUGGAUGGACUCGCGGCCUAUCAGCUUGUUGGUGGGGUAAUGGCCUACCAAGGCGACGACGGGUAGCCGGCCUGAGAGGGUGACCGGCCACACUGGGACUGAGACACGGCCCAGACUCCUACGGGAGGCAGCAGUGGGGAAUAUUGCACAAUGGGCGGAAGCCUGAUGCAGCGACGCCGCGUGAGGGAUGACGGCCUUCGGGUUGUAAACCUCUUUCAGUAGGGAAGAAGCUUUCGGGUGACGGUACCUGCAGAAGAAGCGCCGGCUAACUACGUGCCAGCAGCCGCGGUAAUACGUAGGGCGCAAGCGUUAUCCGGAAUUAUUGGGCGUAAAGAGCUCGUAGGCGGUUUGUCGCGUCUGCUGUGAAAGACCGGGGCUCAACUCCGGUUCUGCAGUGGGUACGGGCAGACUAGAGUGAUGUAGGGGAGACUGGAAUUCCUGGUGUAGCGGUGAAAUGCGCAGAUAUCAGGAGGAACACCGAUGGCGAAGGCAGGUCUCUGGGCAUUAACUGACGCUGAGGAGCGAAAGCAUGGGGAGCGAACAGGAUUAGAUACCCUGGUAGUCCAUGCCGUAAACGUUGGGCACUAGGUGUGGGGGACAUUCCACGUUUUCCGCGCCGUAGCUAACGCAUUAAGUGCCCCGCCUGGGGAGUACGGCCGCAAGGCUAAAACUCAAAGGAAUUGACGGGGGCCCGCACAAGCGGCGGAGCAUGCGGAUUAAUUCGAUGCAACGCGAAGAACCUUACCAAGGCUUGACAUGGACUAGUAAGACGCAGAAAUGCGUU